This is a long non-coding RNA of Grammomys surdaster, 1638 nucleotides long. RefSeq lists it as uncharacterized. Lineage: Eukaryota; Metazoa; Chordata; Mammalia; Rodentia; Muridae. The transcript is spliced from 3 exons. The record is from RefSeq and is a predicted model, not a curated record.
AUGAAACCAAUACACUUCCUUCCCCGCUAAGGGUGCAGCUCAGUGGGGGAGGCUGACAUUGAGUAACACAAACCCAGAAAGCUGUGGGAACAGUGGCAAGUAUGCUUAGAACUAGGGGGCUUGGUCCAAUCCAGGGGCUGAAGAGGGCUUUGGUGAGAAGGAAGGACUGAGUUAAACACGCCCUGAUCGCAGUCCGAGAAGAUCUUUGGUCCUGAUACAGCUCCCAGUCAUAUUUUGCUCAAAUACUAUUCUCAACUCCCCACAUACAGAUCAGCCCAUUCUUCCUCCGGCCUUCGUACAACUCCAGACUCAAUCUCAGGGGAGCCUGUCUCCACCAUCCUACCAAAGAGCCUCCGUUGGGGCUGGGGAGCAGCACAGAGGUAAAGCAUUUGCCUGCCAUGCAUGGGCCCUGGAUUUGAUUUAUAGCACCCCUAAAAUAAGAUAAAUGAGCAAUCUCUUUCUACCACUCACCUUGAUCAUUCCAUUCACCCACUCUAUCCCAUAAUUCUAACUUAUCUAUGACAAGCUCUCUCUGUAUUUGGUUGUUAAGGACUGUGUUUACUGCUCUCUCUUCCUUUGGACUGAAUGCUUAAUGAGAGCAAGCCUCUGCUUCCCCAGGGCCUACACUGGGCGGUACAUUAACAAACACACAUGUGUCUAAUGCAGAAUGAACAGCUGAGAGAGGGACUAGCCAGCUCAACCACAGGCAGUACAGGAGACCAGAAGCUGAACUCAGGCACGAAAAGACUCUUCUCAGAGUCCUUGCCUUGCAUCUGAGAGAGCCAUUGAUCUUCCAAAGCCUUUAACCUAAUUUGAACCCCAGCUUCCUCUUCAGGAGCUGUGAGGGAUGGGUGUGGAAACUCAGUGGACUCCGCCUAACCUGUAUCAUACCAGGGCCUGGCAUCUCCUGGCAGAAUGUAGAGGAAUAUCUUCGUGUGACUGAUUCAUGUAUAUUUCCAUUUGUCAAGCAACUCCUGAGCUCCUAGGGGCUGGGGUCUAUAUAAGGAGGCAGGGGUUUAAUCCAUGGUUUAAUUGGGGAAUAAUUAGUAAGCAAUGCUAACCAGCCCUUUAUUAGUCAUGGUUCUGAUGAGCUGAAAUGAAGCAAGGCUGAACACAAAAAUUCCAUUAACUCUAGCCAUGUCUACACCCAAUGUCAGCCGUGUCUACACCUCAUGUCAGCCAUGUCGUUUGAUGCUUUGAAACAAGCUGCCUUUCAUUUAUUGCAGUCAUUAAUUUUGUAGGGAGAGGCAAAGAACUUGCAUCUCUAAGCGUGCGAGCAAUAACCACAGUUGAAGACAACCUAUUGGUUGGUUUAUAUUUUCAGAGUCAGGGGUUCUCAGCAUAAUAAAAAUUUCAUAAAGGGCAAAAGAGAAGUAGCCCAGGCUAGAACAAUAAAGAAGACCCCAGGUUUCAUGCUUGCUAAGAGACUUUUUAUUUUAUUGUAUUUUUUAUCUCACCUGUUAUUCAAACACAAUUGGGAAUCCUGUGAAUGGUAUAGUCUGGAUAACCAGGACAUCAGUAGAAACAGGACACCAUCUACUGGGGCUGGAGAGAUGGCUCAGUGAUGGCUCUUCCAGAGGUCCUGAGUUCAAAUCCCAGCAACCACAUGGUGGCUCACAACCAUCCGUAAUGAGAUUG